RNAcentral lists this transfer RNA (72 nucleotides) under Camelus dromedarius (Arabian camel). It matches the Rfam family "tRNA". From Rfam's summary of the family: Transfer RNA (tRNA) molecules are approximately 80 nucleotides in length. Their secondary structure includes four short double-helical elements and three loops (D, anti-codon, and T loops). Lineage: Eukaryota; Metazoa; Chordata; Mammalia; Artiodactyla; Camelidae. The record is from Rfam by way of RNAcentral. RNAcentral also lists the same sequence under 2 other names.
GAGGGUAUAGCUCAGUGGUAGAACAUGUGCUUAGCAUGCACGAGGUCCUGGGUUCAAGUCCCAGUACUCCCA